RNAcentral lists this ribosomal RNA (243 nucleotides) under uncultured marine bacterium pM9-48. Its description in RNAcentral is "partial 16S ribosomal RNA". It matches the Rfam family "Bacterial small subunit ribosomal RNA", at positions 527 to 769 of the family's 1533-position model. Lineage: Bacteria; Pseudomonadati; Pseudomonadota; Alphaproteobacteria; Candidatus Pelagibacterales. The record is from RNAcentral.
GAAGGGACCUAGCGUAGUUCGGAAUUACUGGGCUUAAAGAGUUCGUAGGUGGUUGAAAAAGUUAGUGGUGAAAUGGGAGAGCUUAACUCUGGAACUGCCAUUAAAACUUUUCAGCUAGAGUAUGAUAGAGGAAAGCAGAAUUUCUAGUGUAGAGGUGAAAUUCGUAGAUAUUAGAAAGAAUACCAAUUGCGAAGGCAGCUUUCUGGAUCAUUACUGACACUGAGGAACGAAAGCAUGGGUAGC